GAUGAAGAACGUAGUGAAAUGCGAUAAGUAAUGUGAAUUGCAGAAUUCAGUGAAUCAUCGAAUCUUUGAACGCACAUUGCGCCCUUUGGUAUUCCGAGGGGCAUGCCUGUUCGAGCGUCAUUAUAACCCCUCAAGCUCAGCUUGGUGUUGGGGCCUGCUGCACUGGCAGCCCUUAAAAUCAGUGGCGGCGCCAUCUGGCUCUAAGCGUAGUAAUUCUUCUCGCUAUGGAGUCCUGGUGGAUGCUUGCCAUCAACCCCCAAUUUUUCUAUGGUUGACCUCGGAUCAGGUAGGGAUACCCGCUGAACUUAAGCAUAUCAAUAAGCGGAGGA
RNAcentral lists this unclassified non-coding RNA (329 nucleotides) under soil metagenome. Its description in RNAcentral is "partial contains 5.8S ribosomal RNA, internal transcribed spacer 2, and large subunit ribosomal RNA". The stretch from base 1 to 120 matches the Rfam family "5.8S ribosomal RNA", at positions 35 to 154 of the family's 154-position model. The record is from RNAcentral.